GCAAAUAGGUCAGGGGCAGAACAUCUGCUUUGCAUGCAGAAGGUCCCAGAUUCAAUUCCUGGCACCUCCA
Molecule: non-coding RNA, 70 nt
Organism: Podarcis lilfordi (Lilford's wall lizard)
Lineage: Eukaryota; Metazoa; Chordata; Lepidosauria; Squamata; Lacertidae
Source: the annotation of a GenBank genome assembly